UACGUAGGGUGCAAGCGUUGUCCGGAAUUAUUGGGCGUAAAGAGCUCGUAGGCGGUUUGUCGCGUCUGCUGUGAAAACUCGGGGCUUAACUCCGGCCUGCAGUGGGUACGGGCAGACUAGAGUGCGGUAGGGGAGACUGGAAUUCCUGGUGUAGCGGUGAAAUGCGCAGAUAUCAGGAGGAACACCGGUGGCGAAGGCGGGUCUCUGGGCAGUAACUGACGCUGAGGAGCGAAAGCGUGGGGGAGCGAACAGG
Molecule: ribosomal RNA, 253 nt
Filed under: uncultured bacterium
Lineage: Bacteria
Description: partial 16S ribosomal RNA
Rfam family: Bacterial small subunit ribosomal RNA
Source: RNAcentral